Molecule: unclassified non-coding RNA, 392 nt
Filed under: soil metagenome
Description: partial contains 5.8S ribosomal RNA, internal transcribed spacer 2, and large subunit ribosomal RNA
Rfam family: 5.8S ribosomal RNA (bases 1-122)
Source: RNAcentral
GAUGAAGAACGUAGCGAAAUGCGGUACUUGGUGUGAAUUGCAGAAUCCCGUGAACCAUCGAGUCUUUGAACGCAAGUUGCGCCCGAAGCCAUCAGGUUGAGGGCACGUCUGCCUGGGCGUCACAUAUCGUUGCUCGAUGCCUAUCGCAUUGCGAUAGGACUUAGGGCGAAUGAUGGCUUCCCGUGAGCGUUGUUGCCUCGCGGUUGGUUGAAAAUCGAGUCCUUGGUAGGGUGUGCCAUGAUAGAUGGUGGUCGAGUUAGCACGAGACCAAUCAUGUGCAUGCUCCCCAAAAUAUGGCCUCUGUGACCCACACGCGUCUUUUGACGCUCAUGACGAGACCUCAGGUCAGGCGGGGCUACCCGCUGAAUUUAAGCAUAUCAAUAAGCGGAGGA